UACCCGCGGCCCGAGUGGUGCUCAUUAUUAUUGAGCCUAAAGCGUCCGUAGCUGGCCGGGCAAAUCUCCGGGGAAAUCGGACGGCUCAACCGUCCGAAGACCGGAGACACUGCUCGGCUUGGGAUCGGGAGAGGGAGAAGGUACUCCCUGGGUAGGGGUAAAAUCCUGUAAUCCGGGGGGGACCACCAGUGGCGAAGGCGUCCUCCUAGAACGAGUCCGACAGUGAGGGACGAAGCCCUAGGGCGCAAACGGG
This 253-nucleotide ribosomal RNA is filed under the name uncultured bacterium. Its description in RNAcentral is "partial 16S ribosomal RNA". It matches the Rfam family "Archaeal small subunit ribosomal RNA", at positions 474 to 727 of the family's 1478-position model. The record is from RNAcentral.